This 634-nucleotide ribosomal RNA is filed under the name Solicoccozyma terricola. RNAcentral describes it as "eukaryotic LSU rRNA". It matches the Rfam family "Eukaryotic large subunit ribosomal RNA", at positions 47 to 667 of the family's 3401-position model. The record is from RNAcentral. Lineage: Eukaryota; Fungi; Basidiomycota; Tremellomycetes; Filobasidiales; Piskurozymaceae.
UAAGCGGAGGAAAAGAAACUAACAAGGAUUCCCCUAGUAACGGCGAGUGAAGCGGGAAGAGCUCAAAUUUGAAAUCUGGUGGCCUCAGGCUAUCCGAGUUGUAAUCUAUAGAAACAUUUUCCGCGUUGGCCCAUGUACAAGUCUCUUGGAAUAGAGCGUCAUAGAGGGUGAGAAUCCCGUCCUUGACAUGGACUACCAGUGCUUUGUGAUAUGUUUUCAACGAGUCGAGUUGUUUGGGAAUGCAGCUCAAAAUGGGUGGUAAAUUCCAUCUAAAGCUAAAUAUUGGCGAGAGACCGAUAGCGAACAAGUACCGUGAGGGAAAGAUGAAAAGCACUUUGGAAAGAGAGUUAAACAGUAUGUGAAAUUGUUGAAAGGGAAACGAUUGAAGUCAGUCGUGUCUAUUGGACUCAGCCGGUUCUGCCGGUGUACUUCCUUUAGAUGGGGUCAACAUCAGUUUUGAUCGCUGGAAAAGGGCAGGAGGAAUGUAGCACUCUCGGGUGAACUUAUAGCCUUCUGUCGCAUACAGUGGUUGGGACUGAGGAACGCAGCUUGCCUUUAUGGCCGGGAUUUAUCCACGUACAAGCUUAGGAUGUUGACAUAAUGGCUUUAAACGACCCGUCUUGAAACACGGACC